This 71-nucleotide transfer RNA is filed under the name Ovis aries (sheep). It matches the Rfam family "tRNA". Rfam says of the family: Transfer RNA (tRNA) molecules are approximately 80 nucleotides in length. Their secondary structure includes four short double-helical elements and three loops (D, anti-codon, and T loops). Lineage: Eukaryota; Metazoa; Chordata; Mammalia; Artiodactyla; Bovidae. The record is from Rfam by way of RNAcentral.
UCCUGGUGGCUCAGGGGAUAAAGAGCCUGCCUGCAAUGUGGGAGACCCAGGUUCGAACCCUGGAUUAGGAA